RNAcentral lists this ribosomal RNA (484 nucleotides) under uncultured marine eukaryote. Its description in RNAcentral is "SSU rRNA". It matches the Rfam family "Eukaryotic small subunit ribosomal RNA", at positions 619 to 1122 of the family's 1831-position model. The record is from RNAcentral.
UUAAAAAGCUCGUAGUCGGAUUUUGGCUGAGAACGGUCGGUCCGCCGUUAGGUGUGCACUGACUGGUCUCAGCUUCCUGGUGAGGAGGUGUGCUUCAUCGCCACUUAGUCACCGUGGUUACUUUGAAAAAAUUAGAGUGUUCAAAGCGGGCUUACGCUUGAAUAUAUUAGCAUGGAAUAACACCAUAGGACUCCUGUCCUAUUUCGUUGGUCUCGGGACGGGAGUAAUGAUUAAGAGGAACAGUUGGGGGCAUUCGUAUUUCAUUGUCAGAGGUGAAAUUCUUGGAUUUAUGAAAGACGAACUUCUGCGAAAGCAUUUGCCAAGGAUGUUUUCAUUGAUCAAGAACGUAAGUUGGGGGCUCGAAGAUGAUUAGAUACCAUCCUAGUCUCAACCAUAAACGAUGCCGACUAGGGAUUGGCGGAUGUUAAUUGAUGACUUCGCCAGCACCUUAUGAGAAAUCCAAGUUUUUGGGGUUCCGGGGGGA